RNAcentral lists this ribosomal RNA (216 nucleotides) under Glomeromycotina sp. RNAcentral describes it as "partial small subunit ribosomal RNA". The stretch from base 40 to 216 matches the Rfam family "Eukaryotic small subunit ribosomal RNA", at positions 686 to 864 of the family's 1831-position model. Lineage: Eukaryota; Fungi; Glomeromycota. The record is from RNAcentral.
GGGUCAGUAGGUUGGUCGUGCCACCGGUACGUACUGGUCUCACUGAUUCCUCCUUCCUGAAGAACCGUAAUGCCAUUAAUUCGGUGUUGCGGGGAAACAGGACUGUUACUUUGAAAAAAUUAGAGUGUUUAAAGCAAGCUAACGCUUGAAUACAUUAGUAUGGAAUAAUGAAAUAGGACGAUCGAUCCUAUUUUGUUGGUUUCUAGGAUUGACGUA